Molecule: ribosomal RNA, 345 nt
Filed under: Triticum aestivum (bread wheat)
Lineage: Eukaryota; Viridiplantae; Streptophyta; Magnoliopsida; Poales; Poaceae
Description: partial small subunit ribosomal RNA
Source: RNAcentral
AUGACAACAGUGGAUUUGAAAAAUCUUGGGUACACUGACGAACCGUUCGUCCUAGCCAAUGAUGUGGCACAGGUUAUCUAUGUGAAGGACAUGUCUACCAAACCGAGAAAAAGAAAAGAUAAGGAAGCGAAUACAUCAUACGAUGAGCCAAAGCACCACAUAGUUCUUUCAAGAAAAAGGGACAUCCUGGGAGUGGACGGCAAGACAGACAUGUCUGAAGAUUAUGAAAAGUUUCAUGAAAUUCCUCCCUUCAAUGUCAAGGCUGACCCAAGCAUCCUGAUAAACAAUGAAGAUUAUCCAUGGUUACGGCGCAAUAAGCAAAUGACACAAGCGAAGAAAAAGUGA